RNAcentral lists this ribosomal RNA (253 nucleotides) under uncultured bacterium. RNAcentral describes it as "partial 16S ribosomal RNA". It matches the Rfam family "Bacterial small subunit ribosomal RNA", at positions 524 to 776 of the family's 1533-position model. The record is from RNAcentral.
CACGGGGGGAGCAAGCGUUGUUCGGAAUCACUGGGCGUAAAGGGCGUGUAGGCGGUCAGGUAAGUGGAAUGUGAAAGCCCUCGGCUCACCCGAGGAUCUGCAUUCCAAACUGCCUGGCUUGAGUAUGGGAGAGGAUGAGGGAAUUCCUGGUGUAGCGGUGAAAUGCGUAGAUAUCAGGAGGAACACCAAUAGCGAAGGCAGCUCGCUGGGACGUUACUGACACUGAGGCGCGAAAGCGUGGGGAGCGAACAGG